Molecule: ribosomal RNA, 415 nt
Filed under: uncultured bacterium
Lineage: Bacteria
Description: bacterial SSU rRNA
Rfam family: Bacterial small subunit ribosomal RNA
Source: RNAcentral
AAUCAACGCUGGCGGCGUGCCUAACACAUGCAAGUCGAACGCGAGAGGGGCUUCGGCCCUGAUUGAGUGGCAAACGGGUGAGUAACGCGUGGGUGACCUACCUUCGAGUGGGGGAUAACGUUCCGAAAGGGACGCUAAUACCGCAUAACAUCCUGUCUUUGGACAGAUGGAGAUCAAAGCCGGGAUCGUAAGACCUGGCGCUUGAGGAGGGGCCCACGUCCGAUUAGCUAGUUGGUGGGAAUGGCCACCAAGGCAACGAUCGGUAGCCGGCCUGAGAGGGCGGACGGCCACACUGGGACUGAGACACGGCCCAGACUCCUACGGGAGGCAGCAGUGGGAAUUGUUCGCAAUGGGCGCAAGCCUGACGACGCAACGCCGCGUGAAGGAUGAAGGUCUCGGACUGUAAACUUCUGUU